This is an RNA transcript of Callorhinchus milii (elephant shark), 246 nucleotides long. It is a transcript of the gene named glycoprotein Ib platelet subunit beta, with no coding region annotated. The record is from RefSeq and is a predicted model, not a curated record. The transcript is spliced from 3 exons. NCBI's taxonomy places the organism in Eukaryota, Metazoa, Chordata, Chondrichthyes, Chimaeriformes, Callorhinchidae.
AAUGACACAAUAUUCUGUUGCAGUGCACAUUUGUUCUGUGCAUUUUAUUGACACGUUUCCGGACUGUAUGUGUUUGUCCAGUUUGUGGAUUGGCGUUUUAUCUGAUGAUGCACUUCUUUUAUCAACUGCGAUAGAGUUCAGCCUCUCACGUAGCCCCGGACCUUGAAGGAGAUACGAAGAACGUUCAUUGUGAAGCGCAUUCACACACUCCGGAGGACAUUUAAAGACAGCUAACUAUGUUCCAGA